GGGACAUGUUGUAACUAUAUAUUGUGUCGCAGAAGUAUCACAUUCACAAAUACACAUACGUAUAAGAGAUAACUAACUCCCUGUCAGAGUAGCAAGUUUCUCAUCUAGCCCAAAAAUGCAGAGCUGGCAGCCAAAAGGAAAAAGGUACACCCCAAUUUAAGAGGCGAACCUAAAUUUGCUAUGCUACAUACAGUUACUACUGCUCCAUGUUAGAGCAUUAUCUUUUAUAAACUACAAAGUAUAGCAAUACAUCCACCCAAUCUGGAAUUAACAGAGUAGUGCACAUCCUUCCUUCACCUCAUAGGAGAGAGGCUAGUUAGCACUUUCUUGGUGAGUGGAUCCCAUUAUAAUUAAUCAUUAAUGAUGAACUCGAAAUCGACCUUCUUUCCUGGUUCGCAACUGCCUAUCUGAUUCUUCGCUUCCACCUGACCUUCCAGAACUCACUGCCCGAUCAUUCCGAGUAACAAUUUUUAUGGGGUGCGCUUCUGUAUUGAAAACCCACUCAUCAAGGGAGAUAACUGAUGAUGGAGAGAAAAGAAGAUACAGAUAUUUAAGAGUCUCCGCAAGAAAGAAGCUUUGCAUCAUAUUGUCUUUGACACCAGUGUUUACAUCUUUAAGUCCAACAUAUCCAGACUCUACCCUUGAGUUCUUUUCAAAUGCUUGAAAUAUGUUCCAACCCCACUCUUGGUAUGUC
Molecule: unclassified non-coding RNA, 694 nt
Filed under: Hevea brasiliensis (rubber tree)
Lineage: Eukaryota; Viridiplantae; Streptophyta; Magnoliopsida; Malpighiales; Euphorbiaceae
Source: RNAcentral